Mycena vitilis is the source of this 91-nucleotide non-coding RNA. The record is from the annotation of a GenBank genome assembly. NCBI's taxonomy places the organism in Eukaryota, Fungi, Basidiomycota, Agaricomycetes, Agaricales, Mycenaceae.
GCCUCUGUGGACUAUGGCAGUCACCUAAGCUCGAUUUGGAGCUGAUAUCUUCGUACUUGAGGAGGCGGGGGUUCGAUUCCCUCCGGAGGCU